CACUGACACAGGAGACUCCUGUGAUGGUUCAGGUCUCCCCCAUCAGACCAGGAGUUGCUGAAUCCGGGGUGGUCUGUUUCCCUCUUCAGGCUGGAAGCUCUGAAGGGCAGAACUCUCGCUCCUCUGACACAUCGGGAGCUCCUGUGUGCAGGGCCCUGUCUCCCACCUUGGGCUGAGGCUUCUAACGGCAGGGCGUCUCUUCCCUCCAACUAGGGCACCUGAAGGGCUAAGUGUUCCAAGACAGCAGUGUCAGCAAAGGCUGCGCAGAUUUGAGGAGUGGGACCGGCAGAGCUGGAUGAAACCUGACUAUGCUGAAGGGGAAAUGGAGACCCCGGGAGGGGCAGGGACCUGCUGAGUGCCUCCCCCAGGCAGUAGCUGACCUGGACCGCAUCCCGGUACUCCUGCUGAGAUGGAGGUUCACAUCUUGCUCAGAGAGGUGAGGCGAUUCACCUGAGAGCACGCAGCAGAGAUCCUGACUAAUACGCCAAGGCCCAGGGCUGCAUGCCCAGGACUCAGGAAGAGUCUCGAAGAAUCCUCUGCACACAAGAACACUGCUAUCCGCCGAAGCUGAUGUCAGCUAUUCCCUGCAGACUGGCCUGGUCCAGCAGAGCCAGCUCUGCUAAACUACCACAGGCAGGAAGAAAAUGAGCCACCAGGGGCCUCCACACUUGUCUCUCAUAAAAGAUAUAUGCUCCACAAGGACAGGGGUUGAGUCUGUCUUGUUCCCUGCUCAAUAAUUGUGUGCUAUGGAUAAGUAAAUGAAUGGAUCAAGAGAUAAGGAUGGAAGAGCAAUUUACAAACCCAAAGCAUUGUGCAAGGCAGGGCAUAAUUGGGUAGGAAUGCUUCUUCUAGAAGUUAUUCCUUAGGAAAGGCCAAACAAAAAGUCUAUUAAUAGACCCGAUUAAUAAACAUCAGCCAAGGUAAAUGUUAACAGGAAGUAUUUCUGCAAAUGUUGGCGGUCUCUCAGGCUGGGCUCAGAGUAGGCUGGCAUGCUGGUGAAGAAGACUUCCUGCCUCCUGUUUGCUCAGAACAUGUUCUCAGGCCUAGGGGAGCCUCCUUCUUGAACCCCAGAAUGGGUGCCACAGUCCCAGGCUUGCCGCAUCCUGGAAGUUCACCCUACUUCAGUAUGCAGUCAGAUCCAGGUACGCAGGGACGCAGUGUGCGGUCAGACCCAGUUAUGCAGGGAUGCAGUGUGCGGUCAGACCCAGUUAUGCAGGGAUGCGGUGUGCGGUCAGACCCAGUUAUGCAGGGAUGCGGUGUGCGGUCAGACCCAGUUAUGCAGGGAUGCGGUGUGCGGUCAGACCCAGGUAUGCAGGGAUGCGGUGUGCGGUCAGACCCAGUUAGAUGGUCCUUAAACAUGCCAUGCUGAUUUGCCCCUGGGGGCUUCACUUGUGUUCUUCCAUUGUUCCUCUUUUCCUCACUUCCUUCAGGUUUCUGUACAAAUGUCGCCUCCUCAGAGAGGCCUCAUCUGACCCCAUUCAAAAUUAGCAGCCACACAGAGGUAUAAUAUGCUGAGAAAAAUUUAAAAAUAAAAAUAAAAUAAAACAGCAGCUGCUGUUGCCAUAAUUAUCCAUUAAAAAUAUCCCCUAACCCUGUUUUAAUUUUUUUUUUUUUUUUAAUUUUUGAGAUGGAAUCUCCGAGGCUGGAGUGCAGUGAUGCGGUCUCAGCUCACUGCAAUCUCAGCUUCCCGGGUUCUGGGCUCAAGCAAUUCUCUUGCCUCAGCUUCCUGAGUUGCUGGGAUUUACAGGCAUGCACCACCAUGCCCGGCUAAUUUUUGAAUUUUUAGUAGAGACAGUUUCGCCAUGUUGGCCAGGCUGGUCUCGAACUCCUGACCUCAGGUGAUCUGCCCACCUUGGCCUCCCAAAAUGCUGGGAUUACAGGCGUGAGCCACCGCACCCUGCCUUAAUUUCUUGAAAGGACUUAUUGCAAGUUGAAAUUGUAUAUAAGAUACAUUUGUUUUUAUUAAUUUUAUCUGAUUCCCUCUUCAUUCUAGAGGGGAAGUUGGACAAAAUACAUUAUUUUUUCUUUUUUUCUUUUAUUUCUUUUUUUUGAGACGGAGUCUCACUCUGUCACCCAGGCUGGAGUGCAGUGGUGCGAUCUUGGCUCACUGCAACCUCCACCUCCCCGGUUCAACCAAUUCCCCUGCCUCAGCCUCCUGAGUAGCUGGGAUUACAGGAGCUCGCCACCACGCAUGGCUAUUUUUUUUUUUUUGUAUUUUUAGUACAGAUGGAGUUUCACCAUGUUGGACAGACUGGUCUCAAACUCCUGACCUGAGGCAAUCCACCAGCCUCGGCCUCCCAAAGUGCUGGGAUUACAGGCAUGAGCCACUGCUCCUGGCCUUUCCUUUUCUCCUUUUCUUUUCUUUUUCUUUUUCUUUUCUUUUUGCAGAGUCUUGCUCUGUUGCCCAGGCUGGAGUGCAGUGGCACGAUCUUGGCUCCCGUAACCUCCACCUCUGGGACUCAAGCUGUCCUCCUACUGAGCUCAGCCUCCCAAAUAGCUGGGACUACAGGCGCAUGCCAUCAUGCCUGGUUAAUUUUUGUAUUUUUUGUAGAGAUGGGGGUUUCGCCAUGUUGCCCAGGCUGGUCUUGAACUUCUGGACUUAAGUAAUCUGUCCACCUCGGCCUCCUCAGUGCUGGGAUUACAGGCGGGAACCACCGCGCCUGGCCAUUUUUCUUUUUUUUCUUGAGAUGGAGUCUCGCUCUGUCACUCAGGCUGGAGUGCAAUGGCGCCAUCUCGGCUCACUGCAACCUCCACCUCCCGGGUUCAAGCGAUUCUCCUACCUCAGCCUCUCAAGUAACUGGCACUACAGGCGUCCGCCGCAACGCCCAGCUAAUUUUUUUUGUAUUUUUAGUAGAGACGGGGUUUCACCGUGUUAGCCAGGAUGGUCUCCAUCUCCUGACCUCGUGAUCCAUCCGCCUUGGCCUCCCAAAGUGCUGGGAUUACCGGCGUGAGCCACUGCGCCCGGCCCAUUUUUCGUUUUUUAAAAAUAAAUAAAUAAGUUUGUCCUGUUUACCGCUCUAUAUCCAGCACCUAGAACAGCGCCUGGCACCUAAGCAGGCAUUUGGUAAAACUGUGCCAAAUGAGUGAGUGCGGACAGCGUCCUAGUCCUUCACCAGCCCCCUCUCAGCAGCGCAGGCAACUGGCCCAGCUGUGUCUCCCGCACGGGCCGGCGGGCGCUGUGAUGGAGGCAGUGCAGGAUGCCGUGUGAGCCCGAGGAAGGACUUGCAGCCCUGCUGAGGGGACGAGGCGAGGCUUCUUGGAUGACGCCACAUCUAAACUGAGAUCCGAGGGCUGAGUAGGAAUUCUCUUAAAGAGGAGGAGAGAGGGCCGGGUGCGGUGGCUCACGCCUGUAAUCCCAGCACUUUGGGAGGCCGAGGGGGGUGGAUCACCUGAGGUCAGGAGUUCCAGACCAGCCUGGCCAACAUGGCGAAAUCCUGUCUCUACUAAAAAUACAAAAAUUAGCCAGGCAUGAUGGUGGGUGCCGUCAUGCUACUUGGGAGGCUGAGGCAGGAGAAUUGCUUGAACCCAGGGUGGAGGUUGCAGUGAGCCGAGAUCGCACCAUUGCAGGCCAGGCUGGGUGACAGAGCGAGACUCUGUCUCAAAGAAAAAAAAAAGAGAGAAGUAGAGAGUUCAGGAUAGAGGGACAUACAGGUGCAAAGUUCUGAAGGCAAGAGAGAGUCUGGCAAGUGGGUAGAAAAUAAAGGAGAUUCAUGGGUGUGUAUGAGAAUGGGGAGAACAGGGUGGGCUCAUGAAGGAUCUGGAGUGGCUCUUAAGUCUGGACAUGACAUGCCCAGAACAAAUAUCUGCAAAUAGCUCCAGGAACUUUGCCAUAUCCAGCAUCUCUUGUCCUGGUAAUAAAUACUAUUUGCUUAAUAUUU
RNAcentral lists this long non-coding RNA (3878 nucleotides) under Homo sapiens (human). RNAcentral describes it as "HSALNT0290905". Lineage: Eukaryota; Metazoa; Chordata; Mammalia; Primates; Hominidae. The record is from RNAcentral.